CACUGGGAGACGCAGGAAUCUGAUGCGAGCCCACCUGGCAUGGUGCUCCUCUUUUGGGUGCUGCUCACCUCCUGCUGGAGCCCCGGCAGUGACACUGGGACAGCUGCUGUUGGUUUGGGGGUGACACCAAGCCCCCAGGGCCACCUGUCCUUGCAGCUCUGCCACGAGUGGCUUGGGGGGGUCUCAUCACACCGUGGGCUGUGAUAAAUGUUGUUGAAGCUCAAGGCUCUACCUGGAGGCUUUUGUAGGGUUUGGAGUCUGCUGAGUGACUAUGAGAAGUUCAGAGGCAGCCUUGCUGUUUGGGUGCAGGGCUGGGUGCUCGUGAAAGAAAGAGGCCAACGAGGCGGAGACAAGAGGCAGCACAGCACCAGGCACAGAAUGCACAGGGGAGAUGUCCCUGAGCAGGAGCCGGGAGCACCCCGAGGGGCUGCUGAGGGCUCGUGUCAGAAAGGGGAGCAGAAUGGGAGGAUUUGGGACAUCCGAGGACGAGACGAGUGCCGACAGACACAGCUCUGAGUGCACAGUGCCACGGGUCCUCCUCAGGGCUGCUUUUCUGAGAGGUUCGGGCAAAGCUCUCGAAGAACCACAGGUCCUGCUCAGGGCAACAGACAGCAGCAGUUCCUCGCAGGGUGAUAAACAGCAAGCAGCUCCUGCAUGAAAACUGACUCGAACGGCUUCUCUGCAGCUGUGGUGAGGCUGGAAAUGCCACCUUCUGCUUCCCUGUGAGCCAGCUGUCCUGCGGUGGGCAGGAGGGAGGAAUCCCCUGGUACGCAUGGGAACGCCUUCCAUUAAAUCAGGACAUGGAGGUGACUCUUCGUGACAGGUUUCCGGGUAGGUGAGGAGCUGGUGACAUUUCCUCUGCCUGUUAAUGAUGUGAAAUGCCUUCUUGUCAUAAAUUUUGCCCACGUGUUUAAUGGUCUCAUGAAGCUGCAGCUUGCGGUGAGCUUUCGGGUGAGGAGUGCUGGUGCCUCCCUGGUGUUGAGGGGCUGGACAUGAUUAAAUCACACAUGAAACACCUUCACCCUGGGUCACCUAGGGCCGAUUGGCUGUGAAAUAAUUUAAGUUGUAAAGCAGAGACAUGCCACAUCUCAUCUUUCCACUUCUGAUGGGCAUAUCUGGUGGGUAUUUGGGGUUUUCCACCUGCUCAGCAAAGGACAUGGAAACGAAUGGCCAUGUACACUGUUCCUGCUAUGUCCCUGCUCUUUCCCUCCACCCAUAAUUUGGUAAAGGAAAGGAAAAUGUUCAAACAUUUUUGCCAUUAUUGUGCACAAGCUCUCGCAUUGCUCAAGAAGCUUUGCCCAAAACCCGUGAGAUAAUUAACCUUAUUAGCGUUACAUCAGAGUGUGUCUGGAGAAACCGAGGCUUUCGUGGGCUACGCAGGUGGUGAAAGGACAUAUUUAAGUAGUGCCCUGUGUCAGGGCCUCCUGACCUGCCCGAGGCCUGAGAGAUCAGCUUUGGAAGAAAGGAUUAGAGUAAGGAGCUUUCAAUUUCCACUGCUUUGCUCAUAUAAUGGCCUGGACCACUGCAGGAAGCUGUUCUACCACUUUCAAAGGCCGUAUUAAAUGGGAUGAUUUUCAUCAACUCUCUUUCAUGCUGCUACAAUUCAAUGUACAAAACACACAGGAGAGGCUGGUGGCCUCCAUGGGACAUGGAGCAUCUUGUAGGGCAUGGGAGCUGGAGGGAAAGCCCUCGAGGCAUGGGGCAGAGCACACCAGGCCUUGGGGUGGCUGCUGGAGCUUGCUCUUAGCAUCCCACCCUGCUCUUCCCAGAGAGAUCAUUCAUUUUUAUAACAGGGUAAAUUGCUAACUUUUCACUUAAGUUGUAGCAGCAGCAAAAACCUUACUCUGGCUUGCCCAAAAGGGUGCAGAGGAAGGUUGUGUAGAUGCAUUAAGGAAGAGAAAAAUAGCUUAAUGUUUGCUUUGGCCGGUGAAGUUAGCAGUUAGUUGGGCUCUUCUCUGUCAGGCAAUUAAAAAGAUGGAUUCAGGCUUUUGAUGUAGGCUUUGUGACUUACACAGAGUGUACGCACAGGCUGUUUUAUUUCCAGAGGGAGUAGGAAUGAAGCAGAGGCUGGCUGUAGUGCUCCAGGUCCUGCUUUGGCUGCUGACAGUUCUCAGCAGGAGAGCUUCUUGGCUUGGUUUUCUCUCCGAGGUGUAUUCCCAGGUCUUCUCUUUCUCCUGCUCGACUUUCUGAUACCCUGGGGUUUCUCCUGUACUUCAGGCAUUUCUCACCCACCUGUGUGUGACCUGGGUUUUCCUGGGGGUCCCGUGCUCCUGUUACUGAGCCCCACAAUUUGAUUUUGACUGGAUCUGACUUUCAGCAGGGACUUGCUCUCGUGCAGCCAGGUCUCUGCCUAUGCAUCCCUGCAGCACAGCUCUCUCUCAUUCACCCCAAAGCAGCAGGGAUUGCUCACUUGUGUGGGAGCUGAAUUUGAGCUGCCCACCUGCCUACACUGACAAAAGUAUAGAUUUUCAGGCCUAUUGCUGAUUCUGUCCCUCCUCUCCCCCAGCACUUACACACUUGCUGGCACCCUGUGCCCCCAUCCUCUCUCCAAAGACACCUGCUCACUGCAGCCCAGCUCCUGGGGAGCAUCCAGCCCUCUCCUUCCUCUUCCCAAAGCCUCCCUGCCUGUGUGGUAGCACGGGUUGUAGCCCUGGCCCUAAUCUGAAGGCACAUAAUUGCACUGCGUUUUCCCAAUUUUUCAUCUUUGCCCAAUGAUUUUAUUUUUAACAUGGUCACUGUCUUUACUUCAUCACUAAAAAUGCAUUUUGCUGCUCUUUGUCUCUUAAUUUUGAGGGGCAGCAUUCUGUAGCAUAACUCAUUUUCAAUUUGUCCCAAAGCCACUGAAUUUUUGCGUGUAGGAAAAGGGAAGAUGAGGGAAUACACCAUGCACACAGCUCAGUCUUUCUAUUCCUACCAUCUCUCCUGGGCCGAUAUACCUCUGAGAAAUGGAGGAAAACACGAAAUAAUGAGAAAUGGAAUAAUCUGCUAACUGAGAACGAGACUUUCUAGCUUCUGUUGCUCGGCAGGCGGCUUGUGCCCUAAAGCUUGCAGCUUUAUUGAGGUGAGUGUGCAAAGAGUGGGAGAAAAUUGCGCUGCCUUUGCCAGAGCUGCAAUUUCCCCACCAGGCUGAGCGAGCACAGUGUGGCUGUGUCUGGCCAAGGAGACCCAACAGCACCGAAAGGCAUUAUGAUUACUGAAUCAGUAAGCACUUCUUUGCUGCUAGCCUGCUGUGAAACUCCUGAAAAGCAUUUAAUGGACUUCUGAGAUGGAUUUCCAUUGCUCUGUGACUGGUAUCUUUCUUUCCAAGGGUUUUGCUCUCUGCCUGCUCUCCUUUGUGUGUGCUGCCUUCCUCUAGGCAGGGCAACCUCAUUUCUCCCCACCCGAUCUUUGUGCCUCACUGCUGCUCUGCAAACCUUUUUCUUUACAGUGCCCUCUGUGUUUUUCAUUCUAUACCAAACUCAUCUCCUUUUUGAUAUUUGUACUUUCCUCAUCAUUAGACUAAAUCCUGAUGAAGAUAGGAAGAUCUGAUGUGCUGGUUCAGCUUCAUAACAGCUAAGGAGUCAUGGACAGUGUAAGUGGUCAAAAAUGAAAGGGGAAGAGAAGCAGUUGGCCUUAUUCUUGCACUAUCAUCAAAAAUGUAUAUUGCAUCUUCGUGUUUUCCUUGGGAGUUGUGCAGAGAAAUGUUGAUGCUAUGAAUGGAGCUACAGCGCUUUUGUGAAAGGCAGGAGGAAAACCAAACACUUACAGCAUCAAACAUUUUGGCUGGAAGGUUGGUGAUUCACAGCUCUUACAUUAUUUUUUUUUAAUCCUAAGGAAGUGUCAGUACAAGGCAUGCUUGAAGUAGAAACCAUCAUAAUGCAAACUAAUGCAAUUCCCCAUGUCUGCAGAGAUGGUCAAUAUGCUGCUCAUUGCAGUUGCCAUAGAGAUGCAAUAUUAUCUUCUUAGCUCAGUUAUGUGCACUGAAUUCUAAUACAUUUAGAGGAAUGGUGCAAGUUAGUCAAAGUCUUCACAGUUCCAAAAAAGCUUUUCUUGCUGAGCCUUCAAAUAGCAUUUGAAAAGAAGAGUUGGUCUGAUGAUUCCUCCAGUUUGAGUAAAAUGUGGGUAUGGAAAGACUUUGUGGAUCCCUUGCAACUGUGUUUUAGUGGUCUGACACAGAUUUUAGCUUGGCUUCUGAAGGAUGCUGUUGCACAAAGUUGCACUGGCUUUGCUAAAACGGGAUGUGAGGGGAAAGGAGGAAUGAGAGCAAUGGAGAAACAAACCUAUGGCAUCCCAGCCCCAAAUAUUUGCAGUUCCUUUCACAGGACCUGGAACUACACAUGGCCAAUAGCUUUCAAAAAGCCCAUAAAUAAUCAGCUAUUGAUAAGUCUCAGCUAUACACUGCCGGUUGUGCAGAUGCUCUCUGAAAUGGAGAUUUAUUUAGCGGAGGAAAGGAGGUAUGGAUAUUGCAGCCAAGUGGUAAAGGUGAACCCCAGUGUUAAAAAAAAUAAAAAUAAAAAUAAAAAUAAAAAAAAGCAAAUGCCCCCACAAUGGACAAAAGCUUGUGUUUCACUAAGCCACUUCCAUUUAGGUCGUUGUGCUGCUUUUAUACCCACAUGCACCUUUCUCAGCGCGUGCAAUGACAAAUAGCAGCUGACAGCAUGUUGGCACAGUCCUGGCUGGAGGGGUGGAAGAGGUGUUUCUCUUUUUGAAGGGGAAGAGCUUCAUGCUCGGUGGAGGGUUUUCUCCAGCAGGUUUUUGGUGCAAGGGGCUGUGCAGGACCAGUGAUGCUUGCUCGGGGUGGCAGGGCCCUCUGGGGCUGCAUCACUGUGGCUGGCCCCGCACAGCUGCCUCCUGUGAGAAAGUCUUGGGCAGGAGGUGAAGGCAAGGAGCCCUGCUGAUACACAUCACAGAGUGACAGUGGCUGAGGCUGGCAGGGCCCUCUGGAGCCAGCCGGUGCCACCCGUGCCCAAGCAGGGACACCCAGAGCAGGGUGCCCAGCACCAUGUCCAGGCGGCUGCUGAAGGGCUCCAAGGAGGAGACCCCACAGCCUCUGGGCAGCCUGUGCCAGGGCUCCGUCACCCGCACAGCACAGAAGGGCUCCUGGUGCUCAGGGGGAGCCUCCUGGGGGCCAGGUUGUGCCCAGGGCCUCCUGUCACAUGCCACGUGAAAGUCAGGGUGUUUGCUCAGCACAGCAGCUCAGCUCCAGCCCACAGGUGCCCCAGACCCCAGGGAAAGUAGAAACGUGUACCAAGGGCUUGGUGGAGCUUUCUCUGCUUUCACUGCUUGGUGCGAGGCAGGUGUGGUCGCGAGCGUUUCCUCCUGCCAGGGAGCCGUGGUGCAGGGUGCUGAGCGCUCUCGCUUCCUGCGAAACCCAGCUUGGGGUGCUCAGAGUACGGCAGGGUGGGGUUUUUGAUCUGAAUAACUGAUUUAAAAGCUAUUUGAUAACUGUUAGCAUAAAUGGGGAGUGACAGACCGCUGGACCGUACUGUGCAAAGCCCGUUGCAAGAGCCAGGCUGUUCCCUGCAGGCUGAGGAGAGCCUGGCCAGAAAGAAGAGGAAAUAAGCAGAUUUUAUUCACGAUCACACAAACAUUUUGGGAGUUAUAUCUCCCUCUUCCAUGCCCCAACCUUCUGCUCUCUUUCCUGAGUCAAACUUUCCUUCUAAUAGGCUGGCAGGCAUGGUCCGUGCCCUUAUCUGAGCUCCAGAACAUGGAUAUGAUGCACAGAAAAUCUCUAGCCUGGUCCAUGGUGAAAAGUCAGUGGAAAAGCUGGGUUUGGUUUUGAUAUCCGGGUGCUCUUGGCCAUAAGACCAUUAUUUCCCUGUAUUAGGACUGCUGUCAUUUGUUUAAACGUUUAUAUAUAUAAUAUAAUAUUAAGCAUUAAUAAUUCUCUUGGGUUUUACUGCCAGGAUCACAAAUGGUUAAAAGAUUGGGCUUAGUCUAGACGGUGAGUGCAGAUACGAUGCUGAGCUUCCUGUUUCUUUAAAAAGCUUCAAUUGGUAUCAGCUCAUUUGACUUCCUUUGCAGAUAAUAUCAGCCCGCUACUUUUUACGUAGGGAGUGAACCACUGGCAGUGCCUGGACGCUGGUGUUGCUCCGUAAUGGGCUGCAGAAUUUACAUUUCCUCUCAUGAAACCAUCUGCCAGGAGGAUCCUUGACCUUUUUUUUGUUUUGGGGCAGUAAUCUAAUUCCAGAGGAUGGGGCUUAACAGAUCUGAAACCCCCAGGUGAUGGCUGGCGUGUCUGUGCUGCAGGGAGUUAAACUCAAUCGUAGUCCGAAGGGUUAUUAAAACUGAAAGCGUUUUAGCUAUGCAAACUCAGGCUUGCAAGACCCACAUGACCCAGAAACGUAUUUUUCUUCCUUGAAAUGUGCAUUUAUAGAAGAAGGGUGCUUCCCUGCCCUGGAGCCUGCGGGACAUCCAACAUCUCGUGGGCUUCUGAGGAGCCUCGCUGCGGAGCAGGACGGUCGGUCCCCAGGGAAGGGCUUGGGGCUAGGGGGGAGCCCAGCGCCCUGCCGUGGGUGUUGGGAGCCCUGGCCAGGUUGGGAUUUUCGGGUUUCCCUCCUGCCUGAGCAUAGCAGGGUGGCUACAGCCUGCGAUCUUGCCGCAGGGAUGGCUGGCAGAGGCUGAGUCCGAGUGCUGGAGCUGACUUAGCAGCGGCUGUCAGUAAAAUCAGCCAGGCCUUGCGUCUGACUUAAAUCUACGUGACUGCUGCAGAACUGGCACCCGCUUGGAUCAAACGGGGACUUGCACUGCUGUCACCAGCAGGACGGCCCCCGAUCGGCUGGAAGCACUUGGCACAUCAGGUGCUUUGGGGCAGAUUCUGCACUGUCUUCAUCCUGGCACUGCUUAAUCCUGGCGCCUCGGUGAUGCAGCGUGAUCCGAUCCCCUGCAAACCUCUCCCUUCACCCCAGGAUGUCCGUGCUGACCCAGCAGAGCCCCCGCUGGGGAGGUGGGCGCCUCUCCCACCUGGGGGUUGUUGCUCUUCCUUGGGCUGUUGGCUGCUAAACCUCCUGGGGAAAGAGAUGGAGUUAAAUGCUGUGGGUUCAAUGGGUUAGAGCAGUGACCCAGGGAACCCAAAGCCUGGGGUUUAUGUUCAGAAGCUUUAAUAAGAUGCAAAACACCUUGCCAGAAACUAAGCAGGAUAAAAUCUUCAAAUUUUAUCCUUUCUUGUAGAUCCAGCUUCAUGUACACCACAAAACAAGAGUGAUCUACCUCAAUCCUAGUGCAAAACUGACAGCACUAUGCCAAUGAUCUCUGCAGCUGUACAGAAACACACCUCGAUGCUCGCCUGACCCCCGACUUCACAUCCAAAAGCAGAGAGCACCACAGCUGGUACUGCUGUGUGAUGCUGAAGCUGCCUAGCACUUGCCAUUAAAGCCACUCAACUUCUGUUUCUUUUGACUUUGCCAGUUUUGAACAGCUUAGCCCCAAAUUUGGCAUACCAGCUGUCUGCCUCGGGCUGAGUGUGCUGCUGACUCCUUCCCCUGUAUGGGAAGAUGCAGAAUAACUCGCUGGCACAGAUGAAAUUCCAGACCAGUUCUGAAAGGAAGAAGCUCCUAAAUGCCUUGACUUCAAUUUAAUAGCAGCGCUGAUCGCCAGAACUGAAAUCCCUUUCAAAUGCAAUUUAGCUUCUGUGUAGCGGUAGUGCCAUUCCUGGGCUGGCUGAGUAUCACGCAGCUCUGACUCUGGAAUUGAAGUCAUCGUAGCAAUCUUUUCUUUUAAUCACUUUCUCAGUUGUUUCACUUUUGUGUCUCAGGGCACUGUUCUCAGCCCAGCAGUGCUAUUAGCGGUGUCCACGUGGGGCUGGAGAAGGUUUCGAUCACCACCACAUUUUCAGAAUGACGAAAAGGGUUUGAGAGGUGCAAAGCAGAGAUCAGCAAUAAACCUGGUGGCUGCCCCUGCUUCCCCAGGGCUUUUUUUCUGUCCUGCUCUUCCUCACAAUGAGCAGAAAUCACCCCUAGCUCUGGGAAGGGCCACAGCUGAGCUGUGGUUGCACCCCAGGAUCAGGCACAGGCAGAUAGAGCAUUGGCUGUGUGGUUAGUUGAGGUCUGAAGGUCUUAAAAAAGGUGUGGGAGACAAGUCCUGGUGGGAUUUUUGCAUCCCAACACUUACGUUUGUAGAGUGAACAACCUGGGGGUGACCAAGGAACAAGGUGGGGAGAGGGACCAUUUGCUUAUUCACAGCAUAAAGAGCGUGUAACCCACAGUGUGAUGUCCAAGAGCAGACCAAGGGGCAGAUGAUCUUUUAUUUUGCGUUGCUCUUUCAGCUGCUUGCUGUGCUUACCUUCCAUUUCCAUCGUACAGGCUGAUCACUCCUCUGUGAGGAGAAAUCGAAAGAGAUUUGGAGAACUGGUUGCUGGCUGGGUGAAGUUAUUGUGCCUGUCAUCUCAGAGCAAAAGAUUCAGCUUUAAAAACUAAACCUGAAAUACUUGGGGACAGAUGCUACUCUCAAAAAUACACUUACUUUUAUUUAUUAUUUUUUUAAAUAAGAUUAAAUAGGAAAUAAUUGUGGGCAGAAUUUAGAUAAUCAGCAGACUGUCUGAUUUGUGGGUGACAGUGAGAAUUUGCAGCUGGAGGAAUGAAAUCCUGCAGACCAAAAAUGACACAUAAAAAAAAUCCACACUGAAGGAAGGAUGUAUGUAAGGAGGCCAGGCAAAGGCUGGGACGAAAAUCAGAUUUCCUGACAGAUGAUAUCUUUAGGUCUGUCUUUUUAAGGAGAGAAGAGACUAAUGAGUGCAAUAGCAACUGGUAACCAGCUUCUGGCCAUUUUAAGCUAUCAUUGAGCUCUGAAACACUGAAAUGAGAUUUAUUACAUCUGCCAGAGUGGUGUACCUCUCUGGAGGCUCUACGUGUCUGUGACCUUAGAAUACUUCUUUAGUUACACGGUGAUCAAAUUGUUAAUAAAAACGAAAUGCUACCCACUCAAAAGCAAACACUUUAAACUAGUUUAGCUGUUCUUGAGAUAUUUAUUUGAAAACAUGCAACAUCAGUUAGACAUUGUUUUGUUUUGGGCAAUUUAUCCUGCACAGCAGCCUUGAUCCAGCAGGAAGAAGGGUGUCAGAAGCUGAUUUUGCAAGAGCUGUGUCUUGGAAGAAACAAAUGAGAUGAAGCAGUAGUCUUCCUUUUUAAGCAGAAAUUGUAAAUAGAGUAGAGGUUAGUGUGAUCAAGUACUGGAUGCUGCUCUAAAAAUAAGAUAUUUGGGCUAAAGAUGUGUCUCACAAGAGCUUUGGAAUACAUUAAGAGAGUGAUGUUGUUGGUUGCAGACUUGCCAAAUAUUUUUCAGUCGAAUGUUGAAAUCCUCAAGGGCCCUGUUAAACUCUCAUGCUUUCAAACCAUUCAGUGUGUGGCAGAGUUGAAGGUGCGGAGUGUGGGGACGGAGGCGGCAUCUUGGAUCUGAUGAGAUUCAGCUCCCUGGCUUCCUUUCACCUAAAAAUAGCCUGGCUGUGACCCCCCAGCACGUCCACACUGCUGCCCUGCAGCAGCUCUCUCUGGGGAAGACGCUUGGUAGGAGAGUGGGAGGGGGACAUCUGAGUAGAGUGGAGUGGAGUAGGGUGGAGUAGAGUAGGGUAGA
This is a non-coding RNA of Anas platyrhynchos (mallard), 9546 nucleotides long. The record is from RefSeq and is a predicted model, not a curated record. NCBI's taxonomy places the organism in Eukaryota, Metazoa, Chordata, Aves, Anseriformes, Anatidae.